AGCUCUAGAACAGUUCUAAAGCCAACCAUGAACGAUACAGAGAAGAUUAGCAUGGUGCCUGCUUGAGGAAGACAUGCAAAUUGGCCAAGUGUUCCAUAUAAUU
This 103-nucleotide small nuclear RNA is filed under the name Bos grunniens (domestic yak). The record is from RNAcentral. Lineage: Eukaryota; Metazoa; Chordata; Mammalia; Artiodactyla; Bovidae.